Long non-coding RNA from Pyrgilauda ruficollis (rufous-necked snowfinch), 2774 nucleotides. RefSeq lists it as uncharacterized. The transcript is spliced from 3 exons. Lineage: Eukaryota; Metazoa; Chordata; Aves; Passeriformes; Passeridae. The record is from RefSeq and is a predicted model, not a curated record.
ACUCCCGGCUGCCGUUCUGGGAUCCCUCUGUAGGUGGAAGUGUUGCCGAGCCCAGCGGAGGCUCCCGGCUCUGCCGGGGCUGCCCACACCGAGGGCCACCGAGGUGAGCAGGGGACAAAUGUCCUGCCCUGGGCCGGGGACAGAGCAGCCCCGUCCCCGGGGCUCGGCCUCGGCUGGACACCCCAAUUCCAUCUGCUGGGAGCCGGGGAUGGAUCAAAGCCUCCAGGGGCGGCACCAGCCACCAGCUGUGGGAGAUUCCCCGGGAGGGAGCAGGGACUGGGACAGCUCCGGGGACAGCCCUGAGUGACCCAAAGGGGAGGGAAUGGGCGUCCCUCACCAUGGCCUGGGCUGCUCCAGGUGUCCCAGAGGAGCUGUGGCUGCCCCAUCCCUGGAAUGUUCCAGGCCAGGGUGAUCCCUCUGAGGCCCGGCAGGUGCUGGGCAGGCCCGGGCCUGUGCCCAGGAGCCAAGGGCGGAAAUCCACAGCAAAAUGACCUUGAAGCAACUGAGUCUCCUGAAAGGCCCUCACAGAUUUAAUUACCCCUGUUCAGGGAUUGCUGCAGCUUCCCAAAAUUCCAUGUGACUUGGGAGCCCAGGUUUGCAUGGAGCAAUCAGGAGCUGAGAUUCAAAUGCCUGAGGUCCUGUUUUAAAGUGAUUUAGAGGCAUCUUUCUGCCAGGUGGAGAUGGUUCAAAGUUUGCCCUCCAUGCUGAGGAGACACCUGCUCUGAGGACAGUGAGGGCAGCGGGGUGACAGCGACUGAAACGGGACAGAGUGGAGCGGAGAGGCUGGAGCUGUCACCCUGUCCCUUCCAAGGGAAUAAAUCACCUCCUCCAAGGGCACAGAGCACCCUCCUUCCUCUCCCUCAGCAUCUCCCGGCAGGCUGGGAGCGCUGGGCCAGCCCAGCCCCAAACCAGCCCUCCAGAAUUCCGUAUUUUUCCCCACCAGGAUGCUCAGAAGGCCGCGGCCAGGCAGGGUGAGAGCACGGUAGUGCUUUGCCAUCGAGGAAACCGCAAGAACAAGCGGAGAUGUUAUCUCUGACAUCUGGCUCCGAUCAGAGAGCUCUGGCUGCUGUCAGGAAUGGACGGGAUGGCCCCAGGGCUGCUUUUUGUUUCAGGGCUCCUCGUGGCUUCCCCGGCAACAGCGAAGCCGACACAGGGAUGCCAGAGCUGGCGACACAAAGGCAGCACCGCCACCCUUCCCCUGCCCUCUGCAGAGCCAGCGGCGACCUCGGCGUGGCCAGGGAGCAGCGACGUGUCCUCAGCCACCUUUAACCCCAGUCCAAUUUCUUCUUUUGUAGAAAAACUCCAUCUGCAAGGCACAGUCGGGAUCCCAGAUCCUACACACACCUCAGAGCAAGGUCUAGUGAUCAUCCCAGCUUUGGUUUGUGAUAUCCCAGUGGGAAUGAAGUGAUAUCCAUGGCAAGCUGUGCAUGGCCCGUGCUGAUCCCAAUUUCUGCUGGAGGAGAAGCAGGACCAGACAGGGGCUGGACUCUCCAUCACAUCAUCUGUGGAGAACAUUGCAUUUUGGGCAACUUCAGGUGGGAAAAGGAUGAGCCACACUGAGGCACUGACUGAGAUUCCAGGGCUCCUCUUGUGCUGUCCCUUUGUCCCCUGGGAGCAGGGACAGCCAGGAGGCUUUGGCCACACCAGGGAUGUGUCUGGGGCUCACACAGAGCAUCAGCCCCAGCCCACCGAGCCCCAUUUCCCUGCCUGGCACAGGGGACUGAUCCUGUCUGGAAAGGUUCAGGGCUGCAGGAGCUCCCUCCAGAGCAGGCACCACCCCCAGCUCUGCCAGGGGCAGUCUGAAGCCUUUCCAGCAGGGAAGGACAGGACAGCCUCGUGCCAUGGGAUGUUUUCUCCAAGGGAAGGGCUGGAAUGCUGCCCACGGCCAGCAGGGCAGGAUCCACAGGGACAGGUUUGUUCCUGGAGCUUUAUUUGGCUUUGCCUUGUGCCACGAGUCCUGGAGUGCAAGGUCCCUGACACCACUCCUACAAGAACUUCCUGCAGGAAGUUUGAUUUCCUAAAAUUUCAGGGCUGUAAUGAGGUGUCCACAUCCUCUGUGGCACUUUGUGCUCUGCCUGUCAUCCCACCAUGGAAAACACUUGGUAAACUUUCCUUGACAUGGUGAGAUUCAUUAAAUUGUUUUCAAAGCCAGUUAAAAAGGGUCCCUGACAUUUCCAUAUUUUGUUUAUUGCUUAGCAGCAGGAGCUCCGGGUUCUGGGAGGGAGGGGGAGAAGGGAAAUAUUUGUUCUGGACUUGGUUUGCCUCCAGGACCUGGCCACUCCCUCGUGCCAGAGCCACGAUCCCGUUCCUGCUCCCGUUAUUUUACUGUUCCUCCCUGGCCACACUCCUCCUUCACUGCAGCUGCUGCUCCAGGACAGAAACAGGGGGAUAAGAGCCCAGGUUUGAGAUGAUGGAAUCAUGCAAUCACAGACUGAUUUGAGUUGGAAGGGACCUCAAAGCUCAUCCAGUUCCUGUCCCAGGCUGUUCCCAGCCCCAUCCAUCCUGGAUCCUGUGAUGCUGGGCCAUUAUUCCCUGCCCAGGGCCAGGACGUUGGAAUGGGAUGAACUUUAAGGCCCCUUCCAACCCAAACCUUCUGGGAUCCAGGCGUUUUCUGAUUUCAAUCCCACUCAUUGAAGAUGUGCUGCUCUUUGUGCUCCUCUUGGAGAGACUCUUUUCACUUUUCCCAUCUUGAAAUGUGCCCAGCAUUUAAUUACACCAUGAAUAAAUUAUUGGACAGAUAAAAGAUAUUACCUCAAAAAUAAACAAAAAAUUUC